Ictidomys tridecemlineatus (thirteen-lined ground squirrel) is the source of this 1021-nucleotide long non-coding RNA. Lineage: Eukaryota; Metazoa; Chordata; Mammalia; Rodentia; Sciuridae. The record is from Ensembl.
GUUGCGUACACUGCGCAUGGCUGGCUAUUUCCUAAUGGACAGACACUUGCUGGCUGCCUUAGCGAAGUGCAGAAAAGAUGGCGCCGGACAGUGUUCUGCGUAGUGACCGCGUAGUGACCGCGCAGCGACGCACAGCAUCCGUCUUAUAAGAAAGCUAAGUAAAGGUGGAAUACUCGAUUAUAUGGAGAGUAUCUUCAUUUAUAAUAUUCAUUUCAAGAUAUUCCUCAGUGCCGCCCGAAAUGUGGAUGCUCAUAGUCUCGCUCUACCGACCGCCGCGUAUGUGCAUUGUGAUUGCUGGUGCCGUGAUUCUGUUGUCUGAGGAAAAAGUAAGCACAUCUUCCACAGUACAUGACAAAGGCACCCCUGAGCUCCAAUGAGAUAAACAUCAUCCACCUGCUCUUCUAACUCGGAUGGGGCCAAUUCAUACUCAGAGAGUGGUAGAAGGUCCUCCAGGGCUCUGAAUGCUGCCACGACGGAUUCAAGUUUUUGUACAGCAUGCGCAUCAUGGUGGAGCAAGUCGGGCUGACCACCUGUGCAGCAUGGCAAAGCCAAGUUGAGCAGUCCUGCAAGCGCACCCUGGCAGUGCCAAGUUGGUCAGCCUGGUGCGUGCAUCCUGGCGGAGUGGGUCAGCCUGUGGAAUAAGUCCAGCACCAGCCAAACCAGACCCAAGGAGGAAGCAGCCCGGUGCCAGCCAAGUAGACCGGAGGAGGAAUCACCCCGGCGCCAACCCAGACCGGAGGAGGAAGCCCGGCCCGCCCCAUGUGCUAGUCCAGAGGAAGUCCAUCAACCCUUAAAAUUCAUCAAAGGGGGUGUGGCUACCAGCAUGGUUCUAUGGCUGAUCCAGCAGAGGCUGGACUGCCUUUCUGUGGUUUUCCCCAUCAUGCCGUGAGUCUGAAGUGAUUAAAUAAGAAUAAGGAGAUGAACUUCUUGUACUGAAGUAAGGCUUGAAGGAGCUCUGUGUUCUUGAUCCUCUAUUGUCUUCGGAAGUUUUAAUAUCAUCCAUUUAUCUCCCACUGUUUGU